AUGCGCAUUCACAUGCGUGGCAUCCGUCUUUGGGGUGUUCUUUCUGGCGAGGUCUGUUGUCCGCCACGUCCAGUUCCUCCGGUGGCCCCUACCCCGCCAACUCCAUCGGUUCUUCCUACGGAUGCUAAUCAGGCUGCCAAGGAUGCGGCUAAGGUUGCUGAUGAGGUUGCUGAUCGUGCUUAUGAUGAGAGGGUUUUGGCUUAUGAGGAGGCUCUUCAGUUGUAUCAUGGUGCUCUGUCUGCUUACACCCAGUGGCUUGAUGAUGAUGCCCGUGCUGCAGCUGUUCUCACUGCUAGUGUUCUGCCUCAGUUUGCUUCUGAAUUUCUGGGUCUUUCUACUGUCUUUGAGAUGUGGACCCGUCUUCGUGAGCGCUAUCAGCCCUCUGGUGAUGCCUUAUACCUCUCUGUGAUCCGCCAGGAGCAUGCUCUUCAGCAGGGUGACUCUACUGUUGAUGACUUCUAUGCACAGAGUUCUGCUAUCUGGCGUCAGCUUGAUUCUCUCCGUAGUGCUGGGUGUCGUACCUGCCCCUGUUGCCAGGCUGUCCAGGCCAAUUUGGAGUUUCAUCGCGUCUAUGAGUUCUUGUCUCGGCUUCGUAAGGAGUUUGAGCCCCGGCGUGCUCAGUUGUUUGCUCGUGGCCGUAUUUCUCUCAUGGAGGCGCUUUCUGAGAUUCGUGCAGAGGAGACUCGCUUACGUGGUGCUGGUUUGCUGGAGGUUCCCUCUGUGCUUGCUACUCGUGCUCCUCCGCCACCUGCUCCAUCGACCACUUCUCGCUCGAGUGCUCCGCCGCUCUUGCCCACUCCUUCUGGAGGCUCCGGUCGCCCCCGUCCACACUGCGCCUAUUGCAACAAUGAUGGUCAUCUUGAGUCUCAGUGCUACACGAAGAAGAAACACCUGCGCAAGGCUCGAUCAUCAUCUUCAGGGACUUCGUCGUCUACCUCGACAGCUUCAACCAUUGCUUUGACUGAGCAGGAUAUUCUGAGACUUAAGCGUCUGCUCGCGGCUUCAGGUUCUUCCUCGACGGGUACUGCCGGUUCUGUGACUGAUGCUUCCCGCACUGAGCAAUCACCCUCUACACAGUCAGGUACAUCCCCAUGGGUUCUGGACUCUGGAGCUUCUUUUCAUAUGUCUUCUCAUUCCUCCACUUUGUCCUCUCUUCGAUCACUGGAUUCUCCUAUUCAUGUCUUCACUGCUGAUGGUACUCCACUUUCUGUUGCUAGUAGAGGCAAUCUUACUACUCCUUCUUAUUCUGUUCCUGAUGUUGCUCAUGUUCCUCGACUUACCAUGAAUUUGUUUUCUGCUGGUCAACUUACGGAUUCUGGUUGUCGUGUCAUCCUUGAUGUUGACUCUUGUUCUGUUCAGGACCGUCACACGCACACUCUGGUUGGGGCUGGCCCUCGCCGCCGUGAUUCUCAGGGUCUUUGGGAGUUGGACUGGCUUCAUGUUCCUUCUGCUGCUACCACCAUCGCCAGUUCUUCCGCUUCUGUUGCCUCUGUCACUGGUUCCUUCCAGCAGUGGCAUCAUCGACUUGGUCAUCUGUGUGGAUCUCGGUUGUCUUCUUUAGUUCGUCGAGGCCUUCUGGGGUCUGUCUCAGGAGAUGUCUCUUUAGAGUGUCAGGGUUGUCGUCUUGGUAAGCAGAUUCAGUUACCAUAUUCACAUAGUGAGUCCGUGUCUAAGCGUCCUUUCGAUUUAGUCCAUUCUGAUGUAUGGGGUCCGGCCCCUUUCGCUUCGAAAGGUGGUCAUAAAUACUAUAUUAUUUUCAUAGAUGAUUUCUCUCGUUACACAUGGCUUUAUUUCAUGACUUCUCGUUCUGAGGUGUUGUCUAUUUAUAAGCGUUUUGCUGCCAUGGUUCAUACUCAGUUCUCUUCACCCAUUCGUGUUUUUCGUGCUGACUCCGCUGGCGAGUAUAUCUCUAAGAUGUUGCGUGGUGUUCUUGCUGAACACGGGACUCUCUCUCAAUUCUCUUGUCCUGGUGCUCAUGCUCAGAAUGGUGUGGCUGAGCGAAAGCAUCGACAUCUUCUUGAGACGGCUCGUGCAUUGACGAUUGCUGCCUCUCUCCCGCCUCAUUUUUGGGCUGAGGCCAUCUCCACAUCCACCUAUCUUAUCAAUAUACAGCCUUCCGCUGCUCUACAGGGUGGUGUUCCUUUCGAGCGACUUUUUGAUCGUUCUCCCGAUUAUUCGAUGCUUCGCUUGUUUGGUUGUGUUUGCUAUGUUCUUCUUGCCCCUAGCGAACGCACCAAACUGACUGCUCAGUCUGUUGAGUGCGUUUUCUUAGGCUACAGUGAUGAGCAUAAGGGCUAUCGUUGUUGGGAUCCUAUUGGUCGUCGGAUGCGUAUCUCUCGAGAUGUGACUUUUGACGAGUCUCGUCCUUUCUACCCACGCCCAUCUUCCUCGACUUUUUCAGUGCAGGAUAUCUCUUUCCUCACUUUUCCUGACACACCUAUCACCCUCGCCGACACUGUACCUCUCCGUUCCACUUCCUCUCCUUCUCCACAUCUCGUUGACUUGCAGUCACCUUCCUCCCCGGUCUCCUCGUCUAGCUUGUCACCGGGUUCUCCACCUUCAUCUCCGGUGACUUCCUCUCCCAGUUUGUCACCGGAUUCUACACCUUCAUCUCCGGUGACUUCUUCGUCGUCACCCCCUGAUUCUACCUUGCCGAUUCCUCCUUCUAUUAUUCCAUCUCUUCCUCAACAUUACACUCGUCGUCCACGACCAGUUGAUGCCUCCGUGGAUGGGUCGUCAUCUUUCUCUCAGCCUACUUAUGGUUUGCGUUCUCGUCCUCGUCCGCCUGUUGAUCGCUUUGGAUUUCCCACUGCUGGUGCUGCUGUUCUUGAGCCGACUUCUUACCGUCAGGCUGUUGUUCAUCCUGAAUGGCAGUUUGCGAUGGCAGAGGAGAUUGCUGCUCUUGAACGCACUGGUACUUGGGAUCUUGUUUCUCUUCCUCCCGGAGUCCGUCCGAUCACUUGUAAGUGGGUCUACAAGGUUAAGACUCGCUCCGAUGGUUCUCUUGAGCGUCACAAAGCUCGUCUUGUGGCUCGUGGUUUUCAGCAGGAGCAUGGUCGUGAUUAUGACGAGACUUUUGCUCCUGUGGCUCAUAUGACCACUGUUCGUACCCUUCUUGCCGUUGCCUCUGCACGCCACUGGUCUAUAUCUCAGCUUGAUGUUAAGAAUGCCUUUCUUAAUGGUGAGUUGCGUGAGGAGGUGUACAUGCAGCCACCACCUGGGUAUUCUGUUCCUGAUGGCAUGGUAUGUCGUCUUCGUCGCUCUCUCUAUGGCCUUAAGCAAGCCCCCCGCGCCUGGUUUGAGCGCUUUGCCUCUGUGAUCACUGCUGCUGGUUUUUUAGCAAGUGCUCAUGAUCCCGCAUUGUUUAUUCACCUUUCUCCUCGUGGUCGGACUCUUCUUCUUCUUUAUGUUGAUGACAUGAUCAUCACGGGGGAUGAUCCCGAGUAUAUUGCCUUUGUAAAGGCCCGUCUUAGUGAGCAGUUUCUUAUGUCUGAUCUUGGACCUCUUCGCUACUUUCUUGGGAUUGAAGUCUCUUCUACCUCUGAUGGCUUUUUUAUAUCCCAGGAAAAGUAUAUCCAGGAUCUUCUUGCUCGUGCUGCUCUUACUGACGAGCGCAUUGUUGAGACUCCUAUGGAGCUCAAUGUUCACCUCCGUGCUACUGAUGGUGAUCCUCUCCCUGAUCCGACGCGUUAUCGUCAUCUUGUUGGCAGUCUUGUCUAUCUAGCUGUCACUCGUCCGGACAUCUCUUAUCCGGUUCAUAUUCUGAGUCAGUUUGUCUCUGCCCCCACCUUGGUUCACUAUAGUCAUCUCCUUCGUAUUCUUCGAUAUCUUCGAGUCACGAUCUCUCACCGUCUAUUCUUUCCUCGCUCCAGUUCUUUACAGCUCCAGGCCUAUUCUGAUGCUACGUGGGCUAGUGAUCCUUCCGAUCGCCGUUCACUUUCUGCUUACUGUGUUUUUCUUGGUGGUUCUCUCAUUGCCUGGAAGACGAAGAAACAGCUUGCAGUUUCCCGUUUGAGUGCCGAGGCUGAGUUGCGAGCAAUGGCUCUUUUGACGGCAGAGGUGACUUGGUUACGGUGGUUACUUCAGGAUUUUGGUGUUUCUGUCACUACACCGACUCUGCUUCUAUCUGACAGUACAGGUGCUAUCAGCAUUGCACGCGAUCCUGUGAAGCAUGAGCUCACCAAGCAUAUUGGUGUUGAUGCUUUCUAUGUGCGCGCUGCUGUGCAGGAUGAGGUUAUUGCUCUUCAGUAUGUGCCUUCCGAGUUACAGUUGGCGGAUUUCCUGACAAAGGCACAGACUAGAGCACAACAUGGCUUUUAUCUCUCCAAACUCAGUGUUGUUCAUCCACCAUGA
Molecule: ribosomal RNA, 4353 nt
Filed under: Triticum aestivum (bread wheat)
Lineage: Eukaryota; Viridiplantae; Streptophyta; Magnoliopsida; Poales; Poaceae
Description: partial small subunit ribosomal RNA
Source: RNAcentral